UUUUUAACAGUUAAACCUAAAAACACAAACAUAACGUUCACACCAGAAAAAGCUGUAGUUAAUGGAUCGGUUACCAUAACGUGUAACUCUGAAGGUCUUCCUGAACCAAGUUAUAGCAUAAUCCAUAAUGGUACCGAGGUCAGUACUGACAAGACGUAUACCAUAGAUGAUGUGCAGUACAGACACGCUGGAAUAUAUACAUGCGUCGCAAUGAAUAAACGUGGAGAAGAUUCAGCUUCUGCUAAUUUAACUGUCAUAGA
Paramuricea clavata is the source of this 260-nucleotide non-coding RNA. Lineage: Eukaryota; Metazoa; Cnidaria; Anthozoa; Malacalcyonacea; Plexauridae. The record is from the annotation of a GenBank genome assembly.